This 406-nucleotide ribosomal RNA is filed under the name uncultured bacterium. RNAcentral describes it as "partial 16S ribosomal RNA". It matches the Rfam family "Bacterial small subunit ribosomal RNA", at positions 30 to 526 of the family's 1533-position model. The record is from RNAcentral.
AUUGAACGCUGGCGGCAGGCCUAACACAUGCAAGUCGAACGCGUGGCGGACGGGUGAGUAAUGUCUGGGAAACUGCCUGAAGGAGGGGGAUAUCUCCUGGAAACGGUAGCUAUUAUCGCAUACACUCAGCUGUUCCCAGAUGGGAUUAGCUGGUUGUUGGGGUAACGGCUCACAAAGGAGACGAUCCCUAGCUGGUAUGAGAGGAUGACCAGCCACACUGGAACUGAUACACGGUCCAGACUCCUACGGGAGGCAGCAGUGGGGAAUAUUGCACAAGGGGCGCAAGCCUGAUGCAGCCAUGCCGCGUGUAUGAAGAAGGCCUUCGGGUUGUAAAGUACUUUCAGCGGGGAGGCGUUACCCGCAGAAGAAGCACCGGCUAACUCCGUGCCAGCAGCCGCGGUAAUAC